This 919-nucleotide long non-coding RNA is filed under the name Dasypus novemcinctus (nine-banded armadillo). RNAcentral describes it as "lncRNA (ENSDNOG00000049882.1)". Lineage: Eukaryota; Metazoa; Chordata; Mammalia; Cingulata; Dasypodidae. The record is from RNAcentral.
GGCUGAGCCGCUGCGCCGCUGUGGCGCGCCAGGCCCUUCCCCAGCCCCAGAGCAGGGGCCUCCCCGCGGCCGUCCCGGUCCUCCAGGGCCACAGGGACCCCGCUCCCCGCUCCUGCUUCCUCAGGCUCCAGAGCAGGUGUACUGAGCCGGGCCCCCUGAGGGCCUGGGACCACGCCGGCCGGCCUGAGGUGCCCCGUGUCACCUGGAACCUGUGACCCAGGGAAGCGGGCCUGGCCGUGGGAGGGAUCUGCGGGUACUCCUUUCAUCUGAGCAGGGCUGCCGGGUGCAGCAGAGAGCAUGAGCCCAGGGGUACCCAGGGCCCUGCCACUAGGUCCUCCCAGACUGCGCACCCAAAGGCCGGGGGCGGCGGCGGCGUGGGAGGUGGCACUAGCGCCACUGGCCUUGGCGAUCGUUUCAUGGUUUCGGACUGCAGAGCUCCUCAGCCUCCCAGCGAGGCGCACUCCUGGAAGGGUGUUUGACGAGUUCCUUAGGCAGCUGCGGGGAGACACCAGGAACUGAACCCAGGACCUCCCAUGUGGUAGGUGAGUGCCCAACUGCUUGAGCCACAUCCGCAUCCCCCCAUUGUCUUUUGAUGGCUUUUAUUUGCUGAGCCCUCCUUGACUGAGCUCCCAAUAUGUCGGGCAUUGGGAAGACCAAGGAAGCAGCACCAUGAAAGAGAAACCAUGGAGGCAUUAGCCCAGAGGGGUUAGGAUAUACGCAUUUGCAAAGUGCUCUCCAAGCCCAGGGGACACAGUGACCGCCUUUCUCUGAGGGAGUCAGCAGAGAAUUCGCAGGGGAGCCGGCACUGAGCAGGUGGAGAAAGCAGAGAGAGGCAGAGGACGAGGCGUGCAAGAAACACAGAGGGAACGCCUCGGCGCUUUGGGGAGGCCGGCGGGGGGAGAGCAGGCCUGGGAGCGGG